GGAGAGGUGGGUGAGCGGCUGAAACCACCGGUUUGCUAAACCGGCGUACCUCUAUAAGGGGUACCGAGGGUUCGAAUCCCUCCCUCUCCG
RNAcentral lists this transfer RNA (90 nucleotides) under Rhodothermaceae bacterium. RNAcentral's name for it is "tRNA-Ser". It matches the Rfam family "tRNA". Rfam says of the family: Transfer RNA (tRNA) molecules are approximately 80 nucleotides in length. Their secondary structure includes four short double-helical elements and three loops (D, anti-codon, and T loops). Lineage: Bacteria; Pseudomonadati; Rhodothermota; Rhodothermia; Rhodothermales; Rhodothermaceae. The record is from RNAcentral.